GGGGAUUUAGCUCAGUGGUAGAGCGCUUGCCUAGCAAGCGCAAGGCCCAGGGUUCAGUCCUCA
This is a non-coding RNA of Rattus norvegicus (Norway rat), 63 nucleotides long. NCBI's taxonomy places the organism in Eukaryota, Metazoa, Chordata, Mammalia, Rodentia, Muridae. The record is from Rfam.